This is a long non-coding RNA of Dermacentor silvarum, 694 nucleotides long. RefSeq lists it as uncharacterized. The transcript has 3 exons. Lineage: Eukaryota; Metazoa; Arthropoda; Arachnida; Ixodida; Ixodidae. The record is from RefSeq and is a predicted model, not a curated record.
AGUGUUUAUGCCGGAAGGACAGUUCGUGCAGUCGAUGCCGCCGGACCUGACACGAAGGAGCGUUUGCCGAGUAUGUCUCGAAAGGGAUGUCACGAUUUCGUGAGACGGAGGCAUCUCUGCACCACAUGGGAGCCUGUGGCAAAAUGCAGUCUCAGCAGCCCGACAAGGAAUCUGAUCUGCUUGCUUUGACAAGGUAUGGCUGGGCCUGCAGAGAAAGUGUAAGCAGACUGUGCUGUGUUGCUGAUCAGUGCUGAUCUCCACGCCUGAGUUGGUCCCACAACAUCCAGGCACCAGCGUGCUUUGCUUCAUCAUUGACAAGGUAAUAUGAUAUGGAGAGCUUGCACCUGGAUAUCAGUUUUGAGCUUGAGUUUUGAGAAAUAUGUUAAGAUAGAAGACACAAGGGUUGGCCUUGGUGAUAGAUACAUGUGUGUGUUUUUUUAAAGUGCUCUUUUUGAAAUAUUCUUCGUGGACCUAUUUUCAGCAAAUGUUUACACUCCUUAAUUGCAAACUGCCAUGGAGCUGGUUUAUGCCUUAAACUAGCACUCUUUCACCAAGAAAAAGCCUUAUUUAGCACAAAAUUCAUAGGAAAGGCAAGGAGGUGACAGGAUAGAACGCUACUAACACCAUCCAAUUUUACUGCUUGCACAGCAAUAUAAAGCGAGAGUUGAAAGGACGAGGUUUGGGUUUGCGUUCG